Molecule: ribosomal RNA, 424 nt
Filed under: uncultured Gammaproteobacteria bacterium
Lineage: Bacteria; Pseudomonadati; Pseudomonadota; Gammaproteobacteria
Description: uncultured gamma proteobacterium partial 16S ribosomal RNA
Rfam family: Bacterial small subunit ribosomal RNA
Source: RNAcentral
UGGGGAAUCUUGGACAAUGGGGGAAACCCUGAUCCAGCGAUGCCGCGUGUGUGAAGAAGGCCUGCGGGUUGUAAAGCACUUUAGUUGGGGAGGAGGGAAUCACUUGAAAGGGUGAUUUCAGACGUUACCCAAAGAAUCAGCACCGGCUAACUCUGUGCCAGCAGCCGCGGUAAUACAGAGGGUGCAAGCGUUAAUCGGAAUCAUUGGGCGUAAAGCGCACGUAGGUGGUUGAUUGAGUUAGGUGUGAAAUAUCCGGGCUUAACCUGGGUGGGUCACUUAAAACGGAUCAACUGGAGUCUGGGAGAGGGAAAUAGAAUUUCCGGUGUAGCGGUGAAAUGCGUAGAUAUCGGAAGGAAUACCCGUGGCGAAGGCGAUUUCCUGGCCCAAGACUGACACUGAGGUGCGAAAGCGUGGGGAGCAAACA